UCCUUAGUAGCUCAGUGGUAGAGCGGUCGGCUGUUAACCGAUUGGUCGUAGGUUUGAUGAU
Molecule: transfer RNA, 61 nt
Filed under: Solanum tuberosum (potato)
Lineage: Eukaryota; Viridiplantae; Streptophyta; Magnoliopsida; Solanales; Solanaceae
Rfam family: tRNA
About the family: Transfer RNA (tRNA) molecules are approximately 80 nucleotides in length. Their secondary structure includes four short double-helical elements and three loops (D, anti-codon, and T loops). Further hydrogen bonds mediate the characteristic L-shaped molecular structure. tRNAs have two regions of fundamental functional importance: the anti-codon, which is responsible for specific mRNA codon recognition, and the 3' end, to which the tRNAs corresponding amino acid is attached (by aminoacyl-tRNA synthetases). tRNAs cope with the degeneracy of the genetic code in two manners: having more than one tRNA (with a specific anti-codon) for a particular amino acid; and 'wobble' base-pairing, i.e. permitting non-standard base-pairing at the 3rd anti-codon position.
Source: Rfam by way of RNAcentral